This 504-nucleotide ribosomal RNA is filed under the name uncultured bacterium. RNAcentral describes it as "partial 16S ribosomal RNA". It matches the Rfam family "Bacterial small subunit ribosomal RNA", at positions 29 to 523 of the family's 1533-position model. The record is from RNAcentral.
AUUGAACGCUGGCGGCAGGCCUAACACAUGCAAGUCGGACGGUAGCACAGAGAGCUUGCUCUCGGGUGACGAGUGGCGGACGGGUGAGUAAUGUCUGGGGAUCUGCCCGAUAGAGGGGGAUAACCACUGGAAACGGUGGCUAAUACCGCAUAACGUCGCACGACCAAAGAGGGGGACCUGCGGGCCUCUCGCUAUCGGAUGAACCCAGAUGGGAUUAGCUAGUAGGCGGGGUAAUGGCCCACCUAGGCGACGAUCCCUAGCUGGUCUGAGAGGAUGACCAGCCACACUGGAACUGAGACACGGUCCAGACUCCUACGGGAGGCAGCAGUGGGGAAUAUUGCACAAUGGGCGCAAGCCUGAUGCAGCCAUGCCGCGUGUAUGAAGAAGGCCUUCGGGUUGUAAAGUACUUUCAGCGGGGAGGAGGGUGUUGUGGUUAAUAACCACAGCAAUUGACGUUACCCGCAGAAGAAGCACCGGCUAACUCCGUGCCAGCAGCCGCAGUAA